GGCGUGGCUUCCGGAGCUAACGCGUUAAGUCGACCGCCUGGGGAGUACGGCCGCAAGGUUAAAACUCAAAUGAAUUGACGGGGGCCCGCACAAGCGGUGGAGCAUGUGGUUUAAUUCGAUGCAACGCGAAGAACCUUACCUGGUCUUGACAUCCACAGAAGUUUUCAGAGAUGGGAAGGUGCCUUCGGGAACUGUGAGACAGGUGCUGCAUGGCUGUCGUCAGCUCGUGUUGUGAAAUGUUGGGUUAAGUCCCGCAACGAGCGCAACCCUUAUCCUUUGUUGCCAGCGGUCCGGCCGGGAACUCAAAGGAGACUGCCAGUGAUAAACUGGAGGAAGGUGGGGAUGACGUCAAGUCAUCAUGGCCCUUACGACCAGGGCUACACACGUGCUACAAUGGCGCAUACAAAGAGAAGCGACCUCGCGAGAGCAAGCGGACCUCAUAAAGUGCGUCGUAGUCCGGAUUGGAGUCUGCAACUCGACUCCAUGAAGUCGGAAUCGCUAGUAAUCGUGGAUCAGAAUGCCACGGUGAAUACGUUCCCGGGCCUUGUACACACCGCCCGUCACACCAUGGGAGUGGGUUGCA
RNAcentral lists this ribosomal RNA (583 nucleotides) under Escherichia coli. Its description in RNAcentral is "bacterial SSU rRNA". It matches the Rfam family "Bacterial small subunit ribosomal RNA", at positions 836 to 1419 of the family's 1533-position model. The record is from RNAcentral. Lineage: Bacteria; Pseudomonadati; Pseudomonadota; Gammaproteobacteria; Enterobacterales; Enterobacteriaceae.